RNAcentral lists this long non-coding RNA (2108 nucleotides) under Equus asinus (donkey). RNAcentral's name for it is "lncRNA (ENSEASG00005030539.1)". Lineage: Eukaryota; Metazoa; Chordata; Mammalia; Perissodactyla; Equidae. The record is from RNAcentral.
CAAAAGAGCAGAACAAUACUAUCAAAGAAAUAAAAGCUGAGAAUUUCUCAAAUUUGAUUGAAGUAGCACUACUCUACACCUGUAAGAAGGUGAACUACAAGUAGGUUAAAAGUAAAAAAGAAAACCCAAAUCCAGGCACAUCAUAGCCAAAAUCUUGAAAGUCAAAGAUAAAGAAAGCAUAUUGAUAGGAGCAAGAAAAAAAUGACCCAUCAUAUAAAAGGGAGCAAGAAGAUGAUUAACAGCUAACUUCUUAUCAGAAAGAAUAUGGAGGCCAAAUCCGUGGUAUAAGAUAUUCCAUAUACUGAAAGAAAAAGAUUUCAACCAAGAACUUUAUACCCAGAAUUAUAUCUUCACAAAUUGAAGGCAAAAUAAAGAUAUUCUUUGGGGCAAACAUACUAAGAGAACUUUUUUCUAGAAUGCCUUGACCUUGCCUUGCAAGAAACACUAAUGGGAGUUUUCUUGACGAAAGCAGGCAGUAAUUUGCAUCCAAGUGAAAAAACAGAGAGUGCCCUCAGCUUCUGGAAUGACAGCAUGAGGAGUUUCACUGACCCACCUCCAGUAAACUGGUGUAAAUUAUUUUAAAAAAAGAGUAAUGUCUCUGGAAAGCAUCUUAAGAAAAAACAGCAAAUGAAGAAUAAUUUAUUCAAUAGAUCUAAAAAAUUCUAUAGAAACACAAGAGUCUGCAGUAUUUGAACCAACAUGCCCUGCCCUCUCCCAGGUAAACAGGGUGGAGCCUCCACUCCAGGCUGCUUUAGCCAAGAACACAGCCAUCCUCUUCACCCAGCUCCCAGGGGUAGGGUUUUCUUCCAAGACAGAGCAGGAUGGCAGCAUUUCUCUUUUUACCUCUGUCUGCCUGUUGCUGGCUAAUUCCUGAGAGAGGGCAUUCUACAAGUGGGACUACCUUCUUCCACCCAACUCCCAGUUGUGGAAUGGAGGCUCCCCCUUCGGUGUGGCAUACUGUGAAUACUGCAUGCCUUCGGCCCUUCCCCAGCUCAUGAGGUAAUGACUCCACAGCAGGAGAGGCAAGCCAAUGAAACUGAGGCCACUGCUGCAGCUCCACUGAGUGCUUAGAUCCCACAGUGUGAGUGGCACGCAGAGAGAAGCUUGCCAUUGUCCCCACCUCGGGCUCCAGAUGCCAAAAACAUUAACAGCCAGUAUCUAAGCAGAAAAAAUGGGGCCAGAAUGCAGUAGGAAAACAUAUACAAAGUGCUCACAGAGAAAACUGUCAACCAAGAACCCAUACCCAGUAAAGCGACGAUUCAAAGAUGAGGCUGAACAAAUGACUUUUACAGAUACACAAAAACCAAAGUUAUUAUUGCUGGCAGAUCCACAUUAUAAGAAAUACUAAACUGUGUUCUUUAUGCUGAAAGAAAAUUACCAAGGAUGGUAAUUGGAAUCCACAUGAAAGAAAAAAAGGACACCAGGAAAGGUAGCCCAAAGUUAAUGGGCUACAUCUCUCUGUGAAUCAUCCAAACACUGUACUAAUUCACAAGAAGAUCUAAGAAAACCACAUCAAUCAUUUGUACUCAGCAUAAUUAGAAGACUGAAAAAAAUACUAACUUCACUUUUCCUGUAUGUACAAAGAUAAUCUCCAAAUUUUAGUAGGAUUAUUACUUGAACUCCUAGUACAGGCAAGAAGCUUGCAAAGAGCAAGUUUGUGGGGGACACGAAGGGAUGGAAGAGAAGUCACAGAAGAAAAAAGAAAAGCUGCAAAAAACUGCAAAGAGAGAAGGAAACUGGGAAUUGGAGAUUGAGCUAAAAUCUCCUGAAAAGGAGAAAGCCCAUCGUUCCUGCAAAAGAACUGUAAAAAAAGCGGUAGAAGAGGACAUGUUGACAGGGAAGAAAAUUGAAAGUGAGACUCAAGGUGGGAGUCUCAAAAGGUGAUCACUUCCUAGUGAAAAGAAAAUAAAAAAUUGGGGAGAGUCACAUGAACACGGGCAUCAUUCAGAGACAGGAGAGUGAAUAAAAAGAAGCAAAUGGGGGAAUCUCUAGAAUAAUAAUGCAAUACAAAAGAGAACCAAACAUGAUCAAAGCAUAUAACACACACGCAUGCACCUGCCCCAGCACACACACACACCAUCACCUCCUGGAAGUAACCACAUUUUACU